This 449-nucleotide ribosomal RNA is filed under the name uncultured bacterium. RNAcentral describes it as "partial 16S ribosomal RNA". It matches the Rfam family "Bacterial small subunit ribosomal RNA", at positions 29 to 523 of the family's 1533-position model. The record is from RNAcentral.
AACGAACGCUGGCGGCAUGCCUAACACAUGCAAGUCGAACGAGACCUUCGGGUCUAGUGGCGCACGGGUGCGUAACGCGUGGGAAUCUGCCCUUGGGUUCGGGAUAACAGUUGGAAACGACUGCUAAUACCGGAUGACGUCUUCGGACCAAAGAUUUAUCGCCCAGGGAUGAGCCCGCGUCGGAUUAGCUAGUUGGUAGGGUAAAAGCCUACCAAGGCGACGAUCCGUAGCUGGUCUGAGAGGAUGAUCAGCCACACUGGGACUGAGACACGGCCCAGACGCCUACGGGAGGCAGCAGUGGGGAAUAUUGGACAAUGGGCGAAAGCCUGAUCCAGCGAUGCCGCGUGAGUGAUGAAGGCCUUAGGGUUGUAAAGGUCUUUUACCCGGGGUGAUAAUGACAGUACCGGGAGAAUAAGCCCCGGCUAACUCCGUGCCAGCCGCCGCCGGAA